This 494-nucleotide ribosomal RNA is filed under the name uncultured bacterium. Its description in RNAcentral is "partial 16S ribosomal RNA". It matches the Rfam family "Bacterial small subunit ribosomal RNA", at positions 28 to 507 of the family's 1533-position model. The record is from RNAcentral.
GACGAACGCUGGCGGCGUGCUUAACACAUGCAAGUCGAACGGUGAAGCGCCUUCCUUUUUGGUGGGUGUGGAUGAGUGGCGAACGGGUGAGUAACACGUGAGUAACCUGCCCCCUUCUUCUGGAUAACCGCAUGAAAGUGUGGCCAAUACGGGAUAUUCUGGGUCUGUCGCAUGAUGGGUCUGGGAAAGAUAUUGUUUCGGUGGGGGAUGGGCUCGCGGCCUAUCAGCUUGUUGGUGGGGUGAUGGCCUACCAAGGCGGUGACGGGUAGCCGGCCUGAGAGGGUGGACGGUCACACUGGGACUGAGACACGGCCCAGACUCCUACGGGAGGCAGCAGUGGGGAAUAUUGCACAAUGGGCGCAAGCCUGAUGCAGCGACGCCGCGUGAGGGAUGGAGGCCUUCGGGUUGUGAACCUCUUUCGCCAGUGAAGCAGGCCUGCCUCGUUUGUGGGUGGGUUGACGGUAGCUGGAUAAGAAGCGCCGGCUAACUACGUG